CACUAUCGUUAACUGAAUACAUAGGUUAACGAGGCGAACCGGGGGAACUGAAACAUCUAAGUACCCCGAGGAAAAGAAAUCAACCGAGAUUCCCCCAGUAGCGGCGAGCGAACGGGGAGCAGCCCAGAGUCUGAAUCAGCUUGUGUGUUAGUGGAACGGUCUGGAAAGUCCGACGGUACAGGGUGAUAGUCCCGUACACCAAAAUGCACAGGCUGUGAACUCGAAGAGUAGGGCGGGACACGUGGUAUCCUGUCUGAAUAUGGGGGGACCAUCCUCCAAGGCUAAAUACUCCUGACUGACCGAUAGUGAACCAGUACCGUGAGGGAAAGGCGAAAAGAACCCCGGCGAGGGGAGUGAAAAAGAACCUGAAACCGUGUACGUACAAGCAGUGGGAGCACCUUCGGGUGUGACUGCGUACCUUUUGUAUAAUGGGUCAGCGACUUAUAUUCUGUAGCAAGGUUAACCGUAUAGGGGAGCCGCAGGGAAACCGAGUCUUAACUGGGCGUUAAGUUGCAGGGUAUAGACCCGAAACCCGGUGAUCUAGCCAUGGGCAGGUUGAAGGUUGGGUAACACUAACUGGAGGACCGAACCGACUAAUGUUGAAAAAUUAGCGGAUGACUUGUGGCUGGGGGUGAAAGGCCAAUCAAACCGGGAGAUAGCUGGUUCUCCCCGAAAGCUAUUUAGGUAGCGCCUCGUGAACUCAUCUUCGGGGGUAGAGCACUGUUUCGGCUAGGGGGUCAUCCCGACUUACCAACCCGAUGCAAACUACGAAUACCGAAGAAUGUUAUCACGGGAGACACACGGCGGGUGCUAACGUCCGUCGUGAAGAGGGAAACAACCCAGACCGCCAGCUAAGGUCCCAAAGUCAUGGUUAAGUGGGAAACGAUGUGGGAAGGCACAGACAGCCAGGAUGUUGGCUUAGAAGCAGCCAUCAUUUAAAGAAAGCGUAAUAGCUCACUGGUCGAGUCGGCCUGCGCGGAAGAUGUAACGGGGCUAAACCAUGCACCGAAGCUGCGGCAGCGACACUAUGUGUUGUUGGGUAGGGGAGCGUUCUGUAAGCCUGCGAAGGUGUGCUGUGAGGCAUGCUGGAGGUAUCAGAAGUGCGAAUGCUGACAUAAGUAACGAUAAAGCGGGUGAAAAGCCCGCUCGCCGGAAGACCAAGGGUUCCUGUCCAACGUUAAUCGGGGCAGGGUGAGUCGACCCCUAAGGCGAGGCCGAAAGGCGUAGUCGAUGGGAAACAGGUUAAUAUUCCUGUACUUGGUGUUACUGCGAAGGGGGGACGGAGAAGGCUAUGUUAGCCGGGCGACGGUUGUCCCGGUUUAAGCAUGUAGGCUGAUUAUCCAGGCAAAUCCGGAUAAUCAAGGCUGAGGUGUGAUGACGAGGCACUACGGUGCUGAAGUAACAAAUGCCCUGCUUCCAGGAAAAGCCUCUAAGCAUCAGGUAACAUUAAAUCGUACCCCAAACCGACACAGGUGGUCAGGUAGAGAAUACCAAGGCGCUUGAGAGAACUCGGGUGAAGGAACUAGGCAAAAUGGUGCCGUAACUUCGGGAGAAGGCACGCUGGUGUGUAGGUGAAGUCCCUGCGGAUGGAGCUGAGACCAGUCGAAGAUACCAGCUGGCUGCAACUGUUUAUUAAAAACACAGCACUGUGCAAACACGAAAGUGGACGUAUACGGUGUGACGCCUGCCCGGUGCCGGAAGGUUAAUUGAUGGGGUUAUCCGUAAGGAGAAGCUCUUGAUCGAAGCCCCGGUAAACGGCGGCCGUAACUAUAACGGUCCUAAGGUAGCGAAAUUCCUUGUCGGGUAAGUUCCGACCUGCACGAAUGGCGUAAUGAUGGCCAGGCUGUCUCCACCCGAGACUCAGUGAAAUUGAACUCGCUGUGAAGAUGCAGUGUACCCGCGGCAAGACGGAAAGACCCCGUGAACCUUUACUAUAGCUUGACACUGAACAUUGAGCCUUGAUGUGUAGGAUAGGUGGGAGGCUUUGAAGCGUGGACGCCAGUCUGCGUGGAGCCAACCUUGAAAUACCACCCUUUAAUGUUUGAUGUUCUAACGUUGGCCCCUGACCGGGGUUGCGGACAGUGUCUGGUGGGUAGUUUGACUGGGGCGGUCUCCUCCCAAAGCGUAACGGAGGAGCACGAAGGUUAGCUAAUCCUGGUCGGACAUCAGGAGGUUAGUGCAAUGGCAUAAGCUAGCUUGACUGCGAGCGUGACGGCGCGAGCAGGUGCGAAAGCAGGUCAUAGUGAUCCGGUGGUUCUGAAUGGAAGGGCCAUCGCUCAACGGAUAAAAGGUACUCCGGGGAUAACAGGCUGAUACCGCCCAAGAGUUCAUAUCGACGGCGGUGUUUGGCACCUCGAUGUCGGCUCAUCACAUCCUGGGGCUGAAGUAGGUCCCAAGGGUAUGGCUGUUCGCCAUUUAAAGUGGUACGCGAGCUGGGUUUAGAACGUCGUGAGACAGUUCGGUCCCUAUCUGCCGUGGGCGCUGGAGAAUUGAGGGGGGCUGCUCCUAGUACGAGAGGACCGGAGUGGACGCAUCACUGGUGUUCGGGUUGUCAUGCCAAUGGCACUGCCCGGUAGCUAAAUGCGGAAGAGAUAAGUGCUGAAAGCAUCUAAGCACGAAACUUGCCCCGAGAUGAGUUCUCCCUGAGACUUUAAGUCUCCUGAAGGAACGUUGAAGACGACGACGUUGAUAGGCCGGGUGUGUAAGCGCAGCGAUGCGUUGAGCUAACCGGUACUAAUGAACCGUGAGGCUUAACCUU
This 2758-nucleotide ribosomal RNA is filed under the name Klebsiella pneumoniae. Its description in RNAcentral is "bacterial LSU rRNA". It matches the Rfam family "Bacterial large subunit ribosomal RNA". Lineage: Bacteria; Pseudomonadati; Pseudomonadota; Gammaproteobacteria; Enterobacterales; Enterobacteriaceae. The record is from RNAcentral.